Molecule: small RNA, 724 nt
Filed under: Pongo abelii (Sumatran orangutan)
Lineage: Eukaryota; Metazoa; Chordata; Mammalia; Primates; Hominidae
Description: retained intron
Source: RNAcentral
AUGCUCUUGCAACCACUCCAGGCACGACUGGCACCCUUCUGCAGAAGUAAAUUGCCUUGCUGAGAAAGCUUUUGCCAGAGUGCUGAUUCUUCUUUGCGGCACCAAGCAUUUGUUUCUAACAUCACCUAUCUACUUUCAUUUUUCAGGUUAAGAAAUCUCCAAAACAGUUGGCUGCUUACAUAAAUAGAACAGUUGGACAAACUGUGAAAAGCCCAGAUAAACUUCGUAAAGUGAUCUAUCGCAGAAAGAAAGUUCAUCAUCCCUUUCCAAAUCCUUGUUACAGAAAAAAACAGUCCCCUGGAAGUGGGGGCUGUGACAUGGCAAAUAAAGAAAAUGAACUGGCUUGUGCAGGCCACCUGCCUGAAAAAUUACACCAUGAUAGUCGAACAUAUUUGGUUAACUCCAGUGAUUCUGGUUCUUCACAGACAGAAAGCCCAUCAUCAAAAUAUAGUGGGUUUUUUUCCGAGGUUUCUCAGGACCAUGAAACAAUGGCCCAAAUUUUGUUCAGCAGGAAUAUGAGAUUGAAUGUAGCUUUAACUUUCUGGAGAAAGAGAAGUAUAAGUGAACUUGUAGCUUAUUUGUUGAGGAUAGAAGAUCUUGGCGUUGUGGUAGAUUGCCUUCCUGUGCUCACCAAUUGUUUACAGGAAGAAAAACAAUAUAUCUCACUUGGCUGCUGUGUAGACUUGUUGCCUCUAGUAAAGUCACUACUUAAAAGCAAAUUUGA